This is a long non-coding RNA of Anneissia japonica, 1450 nucleotides long. RefSeq lists it as uncharacterized. The transcript is spliced from 3 exons. NCBI's taxonomy places the organism in Eukaryota, Metazoa, Echinodermata, Crinoidea, Comatulida, Comatulidae. The record is from RefSeq and is a predicted model, not a curated record.
CAACCAUUCGAACGAUUUUACCAAGCAUCAGAUAACAAAAGACGAAAUUUUAAGAAAAAAUUUACCGAAGCCGUAUCAGAAACCUGUGUAGAGUACACUUCUAGGCUUCAUACAUUCAGUGUUGUGCAGCAAGCAUUUUCCGGUCGAUGACUUGGAGUCAAGAAGUGUACCGGCAUAACAAGCAUUAGGUUUUCUGACCGCAAACACAAAAAAAAAAGAUGGAGACCAGAGCAGUUGGUGGGCAAUCAGGAGAGUAAACGAAGAUCUACAGCCUACGAAAAAAGAAAGGUUCAGUGCAAGGACUUUGUUAGCUGCAAUGCAUUACAAUGAGAACUGUGGAAGACAGCAGGCUACGACUAAGAGUAGAGGAGAAAGCCGAUUUUCAAUUAACUACCCAAUCUAUGACUUUGUUGACGCUUUUGGAUCUAGGGAUAAGUUGCUGUAGUACUAAUGUUUGCAGCUAUAUACAGAUGCCCCACCAUAUCUUUGUAGCAGUUAUGAAAAAUAGGAUAAAACAGAAGAUAUUUCUGCUCACUGCACCCGCUUUGCUGAGUAACUGCCUAACAUAUGAUAAACUUUAAUACUUGAACCCUGUGUAUUUAUUGACUAGACUUAUAUUUUCUUCUUAUUCGAACGACAGCACAUGAAAGGAUAAACACAUGAUCACUCCUGCCAAUAUAUCCGUGCGUCUACUUUACAAAGUUUCUGUAGGUGGUGUUUCCGAAUUUCCUGAAAAAAAAUUGAAUAUAGUUAAGGAAAGAUAAUGUAAAGGGGUAGAAAUAAAAAUGUAUAGAUCCGUUAUUUUAUUUUUUGGGGGGAGGGGAGGGGGUGGCGGAGAGGUGGGGUUGCAAACCUUAGGACCUGUACCCCUGGAUGCAUAGUUGUAAAAUGUAAAAUACUGUAAAGUUUUUGUUUUUUUUUGUUUGUAUGUACAGUAUUCGUAAAUAAGUGCAUUUUAUGAGACUAAUAUCGACUACAAAAGAGGUUGUACUAUAGAAUAUUUUUCUAAAAUAAAGGCUCGUUUAAAAAAGACUUUUUUAUACUGUUUGUUUUUAUUAACUUGUACAUAUACAGUGCACAUUAACAUAUACACUAUAUUGGUUAUAGAGCUUUACUUGUUUUCAGAUUUUUUGUUUUCGUGUUGUUUGUAUUCCUGCCAUCUGUAAUGCUAAUCAAUCAUCUAAACAACUACUGUAGCAUGACAUCCAGAAUGAGAUGUAGUUUCACCUGUGAUUUCAGCAUCUCUGUCUUUAGUACAGGGUUUUUUGUAGUAAAAUAGGCUCGAGUUCGCAAUUCAUGUUAAUUUAUGGCAACGAUGUUUUCCGACUCAGAAUUUUAUACUGAACACGAAAAACGUUAGUGCAAAUUUUUUCGAGAAGGUUAACUGGCCGCUAUCUUGGAAAACAAGAUGGUGGACGUCAAACAUAGUAUUAUGUGGUAUCAUUGAAAA